RNAcentral lists this non-coding RNA (26 nucleotides) under Mus musculus (house mouse). The record is from RNAcentral. Lineage: Eukaryota; Metazoa; Chordata; Mammalia; Rodentia; Muridae.
UACUGUAGAAGGUGGGAAGCAGGGCA